AACGGUUGGUUAUUAUAACAAACAGCUUGCCGUCGUCGUCGUCGUCUCUCUCUCUCUCUCUCUCUCUCUCUCUCUUUUUCUUGGAUUGGCGCCGGAUUUCUUCCGACGAUGGCAAGGUGCCUCGUGGAUCCUCCACGCGCGAUGGCUUCCCCUCCAAUCUCUCCUUUCUCUUUUACACCCGCGCUUCAGCUAUUUCUUGGUUUGUUCCGGCUUCUCGAUUGUUUUCUUGCUGAUUGAUUCUUGAUCGGUAACGAUCUUAUUUUCUCCCUUUCUUUCCUUAUCUCUCACUCUCUCCCUAUCAAAUCCUCCAUUCCGUGAUAGGGUCCAAUUUGUUGGUCUUUAGAUUGGCGGAGUAGCUGAUGUUUUCCUUUCCUUCUUUCCUUUUUCGUUUGUGGAGGAAGCAUCGGUGGAUGAGAUGAUUAAGUUCUUGGCCAACGAGAUGAUUAAGUUCGUCCAGCAGCACGCCGAAGCCUCCAUCGCCUAUCUCCUCAGCCUCGAAACAGAAAUCCCAACCAGUAACUUUUUGGUGAAAUUGUUAUUCAUUUUCUUAUUCUAAGACAAGAUUGGGGGACAGAUUUAUGAAGUAACCUGCAUACAGAAGGCAUAGGGGAUUCUUCUGUUCGAUGAGGUCAAUGACUGAACACCGGAUUCCUGUUGCUGAGGAGAUGAAGGACUUCAACUAAAUUUCUACUAAUCAGCAUCUCAACAUAAGAGAGAGGGAGUAUGGCACUGUAACCAUCUUUCUAGAUAAGCUAGAUUUUGAGUAUCGGUAUCAACUCCCUUUUUUCUUAUGGUAGACAGAUGCUUGCAUUUGUAGUUUUGUUUGCAUGGAUAAUGUUAAGUAGGAAGUUUUAUUGCAUUAUAUGCUAUUAAUAUUAAUAAGCAUUUUCAGUGACCUCAA
Musa acuminata AAA Group (dessert banana) is the source of this 901-nucleotide long non-coding RNA. RefSeq lists it as uncharacterized. NCBI's taxonomy places the organism in Eukaryota, Viridiplantae, Streptophyta, Magnoliopsida, Zingiberales, Musaceae. The record is from RefSeq and is a predicted model, not a curated record. The transcript is spliced from 2 exons.